GCCAGCGUAGCUCAGCAGGUAGAGCAACUGACUUGUAAUCAGUAGGUCGCGGGUUCGAUUCCUGUCGCUGGCUCCA
This 76-nucleotide transfer RNA is filed under the name Effusibacillus consociatus. RNAcentral's name for it is "tRNA-Thr". It matches the Rfam family "tRNA". From Rfam's summary of the family: Transfer RNA (tRNA) molecules are approximately 80 nucleotides in length. Their secondary structure includes four short double-helical elements and three loops (D, anti-codon, and T loops). Further hydrogen bonds mediate the characteristic L-shaped molecular structure. tRNAs have two regions of fundamental functional importance: the anti-codon, which is responsible for specific mRNA codon recognition, and the 3' end, to which the tRNAs corresponding amino acid is attached (by aminoacyl-tRNA synthetases). tRNAs cope with the degeneracy of the genetic code in two manners: having more than one tRNA (with a specific anti-codon) for a particular amino acid; and 'wobble' base-pairing, i.e. permitting non-standard base-pairing at the 3rd anti-codon position. RNAcentral also lists the same sequence under 4 other names. The record is from RNAcentral. Lineage: Bacteria; Bacillati; Bacillota; Bacilli; Caryophanales; Alicyclobacillaceae.